This 460-nucleotide ribosomal RNA is filed under the name uncultured bacterium. RNAcentral describes it as "partial 16S ribosomal RNA". It matches the Rfam family "Bacterial small subunit ribosomal RNA", at positions 338 to 795 of the family's 1533-position model. The record is from RNAcentral.
CCUACGGGAGGCAGCAGUGAGGAAUAUUGGUCAAUGGACGAGAGUCUGAACCAGCCAAGUAGCGUGAAGGAUGACUGCCCUAUGGGUUGUAAACUUCUUUUAUAUGGGAAUAAAACGUUCCACGUGUGGGAUUUUGUAUGUACCAUAUGAAUAAGGAUCGGCUAACUCCGUGCCAGCAGCCGCGGUAAUACGGAGGAUCCGAGCGUUAUCCGGAUUUAUUGGGUUUAAUGGGAGCGUAGGUGGAUUGUUAAGUCAGUUGUGAAAGUUUGCGGCUCAACCGUAAAAUUGCAGUUGAAACUGGCAGUCUUGAGUACAGUAGAGGUGGGCGGAAUUCGUGGUGUAGCGGUGAAAUGCUUAGAUAUCACGAAGAACUCCGAUUGCGAAGGCAGUUCACUGGACUGCAACUGACACUGAGGCUCGAAAGUGUGGGUAUCAAACAGGAUUAGAUACCCCUGUAGUC